GACGAACGCUGGCGGCGUGCUUAACACAUGCAAGUCGAACGGAAAGGCCCUGCUUUUGUGGGGUGCUCGAGUGGCGAACGGGUGAGUAACACGUGAGUAACCUGCCCUUGACUUUGGGAUAACUUCAGGAAACUGGGGCUAAUACCGGAUAGGAGCUCCUGCUGCAUGUUGGUGGUUGGAAAGUUUCGGCGGUUGGGGAUGGACUCGCGGCUUAUCCGCUUGUUGGUGAGGUAGUGGCUGACCAAGCCUUUGACGGGUAGCCGGCCUGGGAGGGUGACCGGGCACAGUGGGACUGAGAGACGGCCCAGACGCGAACGGGAGGCAGCGGGGGAGAGUAUUGCGGAGUGGGCGGGAGUCUGAUGUAGCAACGCCGCGUGCGGGAUGACCGGUUUUGGGUUAAGAACCGAUGUGGCCGGAGACGAGGCGUGAGUGACGGUAAUGGAUAAAGAAGCACCGGCUAACUACGUG
RNAcentral lists this ribosomal RNA (468 nucleotides) under uncultured bacterium. RNAcentral describes it as "partial 16S ribosomal RNA". It matches the Rfam family "Bacterial small subunit ribosomal RNA", at positions 28 to 507 of the family's 1533-position model. The record is from RNAcentral.